Haliotis rubra (blacklip abalone) is the source of this 114-nucleotide long non-coding RNA. RefSeq lists it as uncharacterized. NCBI's taxonomy places the organism in Eukaryota, Metazoa, Mollusca, Gastropoda, Lepetellida, Haliotidae. The record is from RefSeq and is a predicted model, not a curated record. The transcript has 3 exons.
UAGUAUAAAAUAAGUUUCACUAUAAUACACUUAGGGGCAAAAGAAACGAUACCAAGUAAAUUUCACAACGUGAGAAAAAACAAGACGUCAUAAGCAUAAGGUGACAAUUUAUAU